ACGGGUGAGUAACGCGUGGGCAACCUGCCUCGGACUGGGGGAUAACACAGGGAAACUUGUGCUAAUACCGCAUAACAUCAUUUUGCGGCAUCACAUGAUGAUCAAAGGAGCAAUCCGGUUUGAGAUGGGCCCGCGUCCAAUUAGCUAGUUGGUGAUGUAACGGACCACCAAGGCGACGAUUGGUAGCCGAACUGAGAGGUUGAUCGGCCACAUUGGGACUGAGACACGGCCCAGACUCCUACGGGAGGCAGCAGUGGGGAAUAUUGCGCAAUGGGGGAAACCCUGACGCAGCAACGCCGCGUGAAGGAUGAAGGUUUUCGGAUUGUAAACUUCUUUGAUGAGGGACGAAGAAUGACGGUACCUCAAAAACAAGCCACGGCUAACUACGUGCCAGCAGCCGCGGUAAUACGUAGGUGGCGAGCGUUGUCCGGAAUUACUGGGUGUAAAGGGCGUGUAGGCGGGAAUGCAAGUCAGAUGUGAAAUGCCGGGGCUUAACUCCGGAGCUGCAUCUGAAACUGCGUUUCUUGAGUGCCGGAGAGGAAAGCGGAAUUCCCAGU
Molecule: ribosomal RNA, 557 nt
Filed under: uncultured bacterium
Lineage: Bacteria
Description: bacterial SSU rRNA
Rfam family: Bacterial small subunit ribosomal RNA
Source: RNAcentral